RNAcentral lists this ribosomal RNA (900 nucleotides) under Triticum aestivum (bread wheat). Its description in RNAcentral is "partial small subunit ribosomal RNA". Lineage: Eukaryota; Viridiplantae; Streptophyta; Magnoliopsida; Poales; Poaceae. The record is from RNAcentral.
AUGGCGGCGCCGUCGUCCCUCGCCUCCUCCCGCCUCGCCGCCGCCGCCCCGGCGCCGCAGCACCACCACCAGAACCACCAGCUCCGCCUCGGCUGCUCCCGCCGCCGCGCGCAGCGCCUCGUCGCCAUGGCCGGAUCCGGCAAGUUCUUCGUCGGAGGCAACUGGAAGUGCAAUGGAACAAAGGAAUCCAUUACCAAGCUUGUCUCUGAUUUGAAUGCUGCCACACUCGAAAGCGAUGUAGAUGUUGUCGUAGCACCGCCAUUCAUCUAUAUCGACCAGGUGAAGAGUUCACUAACUGACCGUAUUGAGGUGUCUGCUCAAAACACAUGGAUUGGAAAAGGAGGAGCUUUCACUGGAGAGAUCAGUGCGGAGCAGUUGGUGGACAUUGGCUGCCAAUGGGUUAUUCUUGGUCACUCUGAGCGUAGACAUGUUAUCGGUGAAGAUGAUCAGGUAUUUAUUGGGAAGAAGGCUGCAUAUGCCUUGAGUCAAAAUCUUAAGGUUAUGGCAUGCAUAGGAGAACUGUUGGAAGAGAGGGAAGCUGGGAAAACUUUUGAUGUCUGUUUUAAGCAGAUGAAGGCUUUUGCAGAUAAUAUAACAGACUGGAAAAAUGUUGUUAUUGCCUACGAGCCUGUGUGGGCUAUUGGAACCGGAAAGGUUGCUUCUCCAGAGCAAGCUCAAGAAGUUCAUGCCGCUGUCCGUGAUUGGUUAAAAACCAAUGUAUCAGCUGAUGUUGCUUCUACCGUUAGAAUUAUCUACGGAGGUUCCGUAAAUGCAGCAAACUGUGCUGAGCUAGCAAAGAAGGAAGAUAUCGAUGGCUUCCUUGUUGGCGGUGCCUCUUUGAAGGGUCCGGACUUUGCCACCAUCUGCAACUCAGUGACGUCGAAGAAAGUUACGGCCUGA